This is a long non-coding RNA of Oncorhynchus keta (chum salmon), 1875 nucleotides long. RefSeq lists it as uncharacterized. The record is from RefSeq and is a predicted model, not a curated record. Lineage: Eukaryota; Metazoa; Chordata; Actinopteri; Salmoniformes; Salmonidae. The transcript has 3 exons.
UCUGGGCAGCCAGGUUUGUCUGUGACGACCGGUCUCUAUAGCCAGACUGUCCUCUCUGGGCAGCCAGGUUUGUCUGUGACGACCGGUCUCUAUAGCCAGACUGUCCUCUCUGGGCAGCCAGGUUUGUCUGUGACGACCGGUCUCUAUAGCCAGACUGUCCUCUCUGGGCAGCCAGGUUUGUCUGUGACGACUGGUCUCUAUAGCUAGACUGUCCUCUCUGGGCAGCCAGGUUUGUCUGUGACGACCGGUCUCUAUAGCCAGACUGUCCUCUCUGGGCAGCCAGGUUUGUCUGUGACGACUGGUCUCUAUAGCCAGACUGUCCUCUCUGGGCAGCCAGGUUUGUCUGUGACGACCGGUCUCUAUAGCCAGACUGUCCUCUCUGGGCAGCCAGGUUUGUCUGUGACGACUGGUCUCUAUAGCCAGACUGUCCUCUCUGGGCAGCCAGGUUUGUCUGUGACGACUGGUCUCUAUAGCUAGACUGUCCUCUCUGGGCAGCCAGGUUUGUCUGUGACGACCGGUCUCUAUAGCCAGACUGUCCUCUCUGGGCAGCCAGGUUUGUCUGUGACGACCGGUCUCUAUAGCCAGACUGUGCUCUCUGGGCAGCCAGGUUUGUCUGUGACGACCGGUCUCUAUAGCCAGACUGUGCUCUCUGGGCAGCCAGGUUUGUCUGUGACGACUGGUCUCUAUAGCCAGACUGUCCUCUCUGGGCAGCCAGGUUUGUCUGUGACGACCGGUCUCUAUAGCCAGACUGUCCUCUCUGGGCAGCCAGGUUUGUCUGUGACGACCGGUCUCUAUAGCCAGACUGUGCUCUCUGGGCAGCCAGGUUUGUCUGUGACGACCGGUCUCUAUAGCCAGACUGUCCUCUCUGGGCAGCCAGGUUUGUCUGUGACGACCGGUCUCUAUAGCCAGACUGUCCUCUCUGGGCAGCCAGGUUUGUCUGUGACGACUGGUCUCUAUAGCCAGACUGUCCUCUCUGGGCAGCCAGGUUUGUCUGUGACGACUGGUCUCUAUAGCCAGACUGUCCUCUCUGGGCAGCCAGGUUUGUCUGUGACGACCGGUCUCUAUAGCCAGACUGUCCUCUCUGGGCAGCCAGGUUUGUCUGUGACGACCGGUCUCUAUAGCCAGACUGUGCUCUCUGGGCAGCCAGGUUUGUCUGUGACGACCGGUCUCUAUAGCCAGACUGUCCUCUCUGGGCAGCCAGGUUUGUCUGUGACGACCGGUCUCUAUAGCCAGACUGUGCUCACUGAAUCUGUACCUAGUCAAUGUUUUCCUCAGUUUUCUAUCAGUCACAGUGGUCAGAUAGUCUGACACCAUGUACUGUCUGAAGCAUUGAAGUUUACUUAGAUUUUUUUGUGGUGUCUUUCCAAUAGGUGAUGUAUUUUUCUUUUUGCUUUGUGAUGAUUUGGUUGGGCCAGAUUUUCUGAGUGUUGUCCUGAGACUCUAUGGGGUUGGUUUGGGUUAGUGAACUGAGCCUCAGAACCAGCUGGCUGAGGGGACUCUUCUCUUGUUUCAUCUCUUGACACUGCAGAGCUGUGUGAUGGAAUGUUUUGGGGUCACUUGUUUUUAGAUGUGAUGUCUCUUUUCUCUAUUUGAAUGAGGAGGGUUUCGGCCCCAUUCUGCUCUACAGGCGUUAUUUGGAGUUUUUCUUUGCACUUGCAACACAGUCUGGUAAAACUCUGCAUGCAGUAUUUCCAUUGGAUGUUUGUCCCAUUUGGUGAAUGAAUGAUUAGUUGGUGGACCCCAUACUUCACUGCCUUAUAGAGCAACUGGUUCAACAACUGAUGAGCUUUUUGUUGUUGCCAGAUUCUAAUAGAAAUUUAGAUUUUAAUGUUCCUUUUAACGGCAUAGAAGGCUCUUCUUGCUUUGUCUCUCAGC